CCCAGUCCUCAGACCACACUAACAAUCUACAAUUAUGGUAUUUCUCAAUACUGGCUAUGAUUGUUGUAUAUCCGUUAUAGCAUACAUGUUUGUUUUGAAAAAGUGCAUAAUGUAAAACUGAAAAAAAUCAGCCUAAUCUGAUUAGCAGUUUCUUAGCCUAGCAGGACCCAGGAACUAUAAAAACAUCUCAGCAUGUCGUUAGACUCAGAUCUAUUUUUUUU
Molecule: non-coding RNA, 221 nt
Organism: Pelobates cultripes (western spadefoot toad)
Lineage: Eukaryota; Metazoa; Chordata; Amphibia; Anura; Pelobatidae
Source: the annotation of a GenBank genome assembly